AAAAAAUCAAAAGGGGAUGAGACACAAUAGCGCCCCGAGCCUCGGCUUCUUCUUCUUCGAUACACUUUCUCCAAAAAGCCUCAGCUGCAACAAUACAAAGAAGACUAUCAGCCGUGUUCCCUAAUCUUUAGAGGAAAAUCAAUAGAAGACAAAAAAAAUCCUAGAUCUAAAAUGGAGAUAGGGACUUGAUGUCUUGCUUAAACAAUUUUAUUUUCGGCAUUUUGCUAGAUUUUGUCUCUGCGGCUGAUUUGUUGACUAACCUGCUGCUACCGCAAGUGAUUCGCACAAAUAGCCGAUUUUAUGACCUCCUGUAUUUCGCUGCUUCGUGUUCUCUUCACCAUAUCUGUCGGAGCACGCACAAACACAGUCACGCAUUUUUUACUUUCCGGCAAGUUUCGAGGCUGAAGAGUCGAGGUCCGCCUGUAUUUCAUCGACCUCCGGCAAGUUCCGAAGUCAAAGUUUCGUUGGUCUUGGUCACGUCUCCAUCCGAUUCUGGAGCUGCAAGUCAGCUGAACUCGGAUUCAUUUUGAAGAGACUUAUUCUCUGUUUGUCUCUGUGCCGCUGUAAUCAGAUCUAGGUAUUUCUGAGCUCGAUGGAAAGUUCAUCGGGAGUUAGCAAGGUAGCUGCCUGGCGAUCGCAACCCUACUUUUCUCCCUUCUUAUUCUCCCUUAGUGUAUUUUUUUGUGAUUUUACCCCGACCAUGUUGGUCUUGAGGUUGCUAGACAGUUGUAAUAGAUGCUCAUGACUAGUGACACCCCGAUUGUUGGGUUUUUCUUUUCGCAAUGUUGCUUGUUUUAAACACUACAUAAAGGUUUAUUGUUAAAUAGAUUUGAUUUUAUCCUAAAAAUGGAAAAUACUGAUUGAUUUUGGGUU
Nicotiana tabacum (common tobacco) is the source of this 873-nucleotide long non-coding RNA. RefSeq lists it as uncharacterized. Lineage: Eukaryota; Viridiplantae; Streptophyta; Magnoliopsida; Solanales; Solanaceae. The record is from RefSeq and is a predicted model, not a curated record.